GUUACUUUCAGCCGUGGUCCAGGCACUGUGAAAAAUGCAGAAGCCACACUAGGUGCCCUCUCUCAGGAUUCCCAACCACCUUUACCAAGCAGAGAUGGUAUUCAUCCCACAUUUUUAAUGCUAGAUAUGCUCCCGCCCGGUGCUUCUCUAAUAAUGUUUUUUAAAAGGUUGAGAGCAGAAUUUUAAUAGGCAAAAGAAAGAGAAGAGCUCUCUGCUGCAGACAGGAGUCCUGGAGAAAUGGGUUGCCCUCUUUUUUCUUUUUCUUUUUUUGAGACAGUCUCUCACUGUCACCCAGGCUGGAAUUCAGUGGCGCAUUCGUACCUCGCUGCAGCCUCAACCUCCUAGGCUCAAUCGAUCCUCCCACCUCAGCCUCCCGAGUAGCUGGGACUAUAGAUAUUUAACCAUUUUUCUAUUGAGAUUUGGUCUUCUCCACCACCCACCACAGAUUUUUGUAAUUAGAGGUCAUUUUUCCAAACAAAUGAUUCUUAAGGUCCUGCUGUCUCUGAAUAUUAUUUUU
Molecule: long non-coding RNA, 517 nt
Filed under: Homo sapiens (human)
Lineage: Eukaryota; Metazoa; Chordata; Mammalia; Primates; Hominidae
Description: non-protein coding lnc-RNASEH1-12:6
Source: RNAcentral